RNAcentral lists this ribosomal RNA (429 nucleotides) under Chloroflexota bacterium. Its description in RNAcentral is "Chloroflexi bacterium partial 16S ribosomal RNA". It matches the Rfam family "Bacterial small subunit ribosomal RNA", at positions 355 to 776 of the family's 1533-position model. Lineage: Bacteria; Bacillati; Chloroflexota. The record is from RNAcentral.
UGGGGAAUAUUGCACAAUGGGCGCAAGCCUGAUGCAGCCAUGCCGCGUGUAUGAAGAAGGCCUUCGGGUUGUAAAGUACUUUCAGUCGGGAGGAAGGUGUCAAGGUUAAUAACCUUGGCAAUUGACGUUACCGACAGAAGAAGCACCGGCUAACUCCGUGCCAGCAGCCGCGGUAAUACGGAGGGUGCAAGCGUUAAUCGGAAUUACUGGGCGUAAAGCGCACGCAGGCGGUUGAUUGAGUCAGAUGUGAAAUCCCCGGGCUUAACCCGGGAAUUGCAUCUGAUACUGGUCAGCUAGGGUCUUGUAGAGGGGGGUAGAAUUCCAUGUGUAGCGGUGAAAUGCGUAGAGAUGUGGAGGAAUACCGGUGGCGAAGGCGGCCCCCUGGACGAAGACUGACGCUCAGGUGCGAAAGCGUGGGGAGCAAACAGG